This 1802-nucleotide ribosomal RNA is filed under the name Brachybacterium paraconglomeratum LC44. Its description in RNAcentral is "bacterial LSU rRNA". It matches the Rfam family "Bacterial large subunit ribosomal RNA", at positions 1087 to 2785 of the family's 2925-position model. The record is from RNAcentral. Lineage: Bacteria; Bacillati; Actinomycetota; Actinomycetes; Micrococcales; Dermabacteraceae.
AGACAACCAGGAGGUUGGCUUAGAAGCAGCCACCCUUGAAAGAGUGCGUAAUAGCUCACUGGUCAAGUGAUUCUGCGCCGACAAUGUAGCGGGGCUCAAGCACACCGCCGAAGCUGUGUCACUCCAACGUUUGUUGGGGUGGGUAGGGGAGCGUCGUACAGCCGGUGAAGCCGCGGGGGAACCCAGUGGUGGAGGCUGUACGAGUGAGAAUGCAGGCAUGAGUAGCGAAAGACGGGUGAGAAACCCGUCCGCCGAUUGAUCAAGGGUUCCAGGGCCAGGUUUAUCCGCCCUGGGUUAGUCGGGACCUAAGGCGAGGCCGACAGGCGUAGUCGAUGGACAUCGGGUUGAUAUUCCCGAACCGAUCGUAGGAGGACCCAUACCGAGGCGGCUGAUGCUAACCACCCGAGCUGUCACCGUGCCCUUCGGGGUGUGGAUGGUGGUGAGGCUGGGAACCAAGGUCGUAGUAGGUCAGCGCGUGGGAUGACGCAGAGAGGUAGCUUCCGCGGACUUAAUGGAAUAGUCCGUCUAAGCGUGCAGCCCGGCCCCGGGUAAUGCUGGGGCCAUGAGGGUGAGACGUGAUGGGGAUCCCGUAUGGGCGUAGGUGAGUGAUCCUGUACUGCCUAGAAAAGUUCCGGCGUGACGAAUACGGUCGCCCGUACCCUAAACCGACUCAGGUGAUCAGGUAGAGAAUACCGAGGCGUUCGAGAGAAUCGUGGUUAAGGAACUCGGCAAAAUGCCCCCGUAACUUCGGGAGAAGGGGGGCCCGAUCCGUGAGAGCGGAGAGGGCCGCAGAGACCAGGGAGAAGCGACUGUUUACUAAAAACACAGGUCCGUGCGAAGUCGUAAGACGCUGUAUACGGACUGACGCCUGCCCGGUGCUGGAAGGUUAAGAGGACCGGUUAGAGCUCUUCGGAGUUCGAAGCUGAGAAUUUAAGCCCCAGUAAACGGCGGUGGUAACUAUAACCAUCCUAAGGUAGCGAAAUUCCUUGUCGGGUAAGUUCCGACCUGCACGAAUGGCGUAACGACUUCUCCACUGUCUCAACCGCGAACUCGGCGAAAUUGCAUUACGAGUAAAGAUGCUCGUUACGCGCAGCAGGACGGAAAGACCCCGGGACCUUUACUAUAGUUUGAUAUUGGUGUUCGGGACGGCUUGUGUAGGAUAGGUGGGAGACUGGGAAGCAUUCACGCCAGUGAGUGUGGAGUCAUUGUUGAAAUACCACUCUGGUCGUUCUGGAUUCCUAACCUCGGUCCGUGAUCCGGAUCAGGGACAGUGUCUGAUGGGUAGUUUAACUGGGGCGGUUGCCUCCUAAAGAGUAACGGAGGCGCUCAAAGGUUCCCUCAGCCUGGUUGGCAAUCAGGUGUUGAGUGUAAGUGCACAAGGGAGCUUGACUGCGAGACAGACAUGUCGGGCAGGUGCGAAAGCAGGAACUAGUGAUCCGGCACCUCAUUGUGGAAUGGGUGUCGCUCAACGGAUAAAAGGUACCCCGGGGAUAACAGGCUGAUCUUGCCCAAGAGCUCAUAUCGACGGCAUGGUUUGGCACCUCGAUGUCGGCUCGUCGCAUCCUGGGGCUGGAGUUGGUCCCAAGGGUUAGGCUGUUCGCCUAUUAAAGCGGUACGCGAGCUGGGUUUAGAACGUCGUGAGACAGUUCGGUCCCUAUCCGCUGCGCGCGUUGGAUAUUUGAGAAGUCCUGUCCCUAGUACGAGAGGACCGGGAUGGACUGACCUCUGGUGUGCCAGUUGUUCUGCCAAGGGCAUGGCUGGUUGGCUACGUCGGGAAGGGAUAACCGCUGAAAGCAUCUAAG